GUAGGUGAACCUGCGGAAGGAUCAUUAAAGAGUCCAUAGAUGGCGCAAGCCUUCUAUACACUCCACCCUUUGUUAACAUUACCUUUGUUGCUUUGGCAGGCCUGUCUUUGGGCUACCGGCUUAGGCUGGUUAGUGCCUGCCAAGGGACCUAAAACUCUUGUUAAUAUUAUUGUCUGAGUACUAUUUAAUAGUUAAAACUUUCAACAACGGAUCUCUUGGUUCUGGCAUCGAUGAAGAACGCAGCAUCUGA
Molecule: unclassified non-coding RNA, 250 nt
Filed under: plant metagenome
Description: partial contains small subunit ribosomal RNA, internal transcribed spacer 1, and 5.8S ribosomal RNA
Rfam family: 5.8S ribosomal RNA (bases 196-250)
Source: RNAcentral